AGGCUGCCCCAGCUGGCAGUGGCAAUCCUCUCCGGUCCCCUUCCGGGCUGUGGGAGCUUUGUUCUUUUGCUCUUUGCAAUAAAUCUUGCUGCUGCUCGCUCUUUGGGUCCACAUUGCCUUUGUGAGCUGUAACACUCACGGCGAAGGUCUGCAGCUUCACUCCUAAAGCCAGAGAGACCACAAACCCACCGGGAGGAACGAACAACUCCAGACGCGCGGCCUUAAGAGCUGUAACACUCACCGCGAAAGUCUGCAGCUUCACUCCUAAAGCCAGCGAGACCACGAACCCACCAGGAGGAACGAACAAUUCCAGAUGCGCCGCCUUAGGAGCUGUAACACUCACCGCGAAGAUCUGCAGCUUCACUCCUGAGCCGGCGAGACCACGAACCCCACCAGAAGGAAGAAACUCCGGACACGCCGCCUUUAAGAACUAUAACACUCACGGCGAGGGUCCACGGCUUCAUUCUUGAAGUCAGUGAAACCAAGAACCCACCAAUUCCGGACACAGCAGGAUCCCACCCACAGAACCGCCAGGUGCACAGCUGCAUAUCCUCAGGGGAAAACUCCCCUCCCCUGCCACCUUACUGAUAGGCUUCACUUCCCAGAGAACUUUCCCAAUCCUGUGCAAUGCCUGAGUGGUACAUUGUAUUCUAUGAGAAUGGCGCCCCCGCCUCCAGAGUUGUGCAACAAGACUUCCAUGAAUCAAAGCCCAUCGCUGGCUGCCUCCUCUAGCCCUGCAUAGCCCAGGUACAUCUGAAAGGAGUGAGAAGUGUUUUGAGGGCUCUCCCUGUCUCUUCCUGCACCUCUCUCUUGUGAUCCCAGAAGCUACAACCUCAGCCCAGAUUAGCAGGCUGAGGGGUCAGGAGGCUGUCACUGGAGCUGUUGAGCUCAUGAACACGCCGAAGUUGCUGCGCUCCAGAAAUGUGGAAGUUGGAAUGAAGAGCCACCACUGCUGCCACCAACAUGAAGCUUGACCAAGCAAGCCAAGAAAAGAUGGCCAAGAGCCUCUGCCUUCCUUCUGCCUUCUGCAACGCAAUGGUGAGCUGCACAUCCACAACUUGAAGGGAGUCUGGGAAAUGCAGAGUUAAACUUUCUAGCCUCUCUAAGCUUUCAACUGUUACAGAAAGGCAACCCAGGAGGAGACUGGAAUAAAUGCUGAGUGCCAAUUUCCAACACAAGUAGUCAUUAUAAUUGGGAGAAGGCUACUUGGACCUAAAGGAAUGAAUUAGGAAGCGGUCUACUACCAAAGUACAAUGAAGGGCUCAAGGGCAGUGACUGCCCCACUCCACCACAGAGUGGGAGAGGGCUGGACCCCAGUGCCACUUUCGGCCACCCCUGGGCCAC
RNAcentral lists this long non-coding RNA (1344 nucleotides) under Homo sapiens (human). RNAcentral describes it as "HSALNT0342460". Lineage: Eukaryota; Metazoa; Chordata; Mammalia; Primates; Hominidae. The record is from RNAcentral.